Cyprinus carpio carpio is the source of this 577-nucleotide long non-coding RNA. The record is from Ensembl. NCBI's taxonomy places the organism in Eukaryota, Metazoa, Chordata, Actinopteri, Cypriniformes, Cyprinidae.
AAAGCAUGGAAGUCGCUGGACUGCAGAAAGACAUGACGAAAUGCUGGACGCUUCCACCUGCUUUAUUGGACUCCAGCAGUAAUCAACAGAUAGAGAGAGACUCACAUUAAUAAAUGCCAUACAAUUGUUGUUAAUGUAAUUUAAUAUAAUUAAUGUUAAUAACUGAAACCUUAUUGGAAGUGUUACUUAAGUUUUAUAUGUUGUGUUGUGUGUCUCUUGAUGGUUCGGAUUAACCCUUUCAUUGCUGUAUGCCUUAAUUCCAAACUACUGUCACACCUACCUUUAAUUUUCAAGUAAUCCUGAAGACAUUCAUUAGUUGGUUCAGGUGUGUUUGAGUAGGCUAAACUUUACAGGACAGUCGAUCGCCAUUAACAGAGUUGGACACCCCUGAGCUAGACGGUUACUGUGUAUGUGCCGCUGGGCACAGCUUUCCUGAUGCCACCGGGGUGGCGUUUGCGCUGACGGCUCGGGCCCGCCAUCGCUGCUUGCAGCUAUAUUUUUUUAUUAUUAUUAUUAUUUUUUUCCAACGUCUCGGGGGCUUUUGGGGCCCUUAACAUACUCGAAAACUCUUGAAAAU